This 83-nucleotide transfer RNA is filed under the name Gemmatimonadales bacterium. Its description in RNAcentral is "tRNA-Leu". It matches the Rfam family "tRNA". Rfam says of the family: Transfer RNA (tRNA) molecules are approximately 80 nucleotides in length. Their secondary structure includes four short double-helical elements and three loops (D, anti-codon, and T loops). Lineage: Bacteria; Pseudomonadati; Gemmatimonadota; Gemmatimonadia; Gemmatimonadales. The record is from RNAcentral.
GCCCGAGUGGCGAAAUGGCAGACGCAGCGGACUCAAAAUCCGCCGAGGGCAACCUCAUGUGGGUUCGACUCCCACCUCGGGCA